AGUGAACGCUGGCGGUAGGCCUAACACAUGCAAGUCGAACGGCAGCACAGUAAGAGCUUGCUCUUACGGGUGGCGAGUGGCGGACGGGUGAGGAAUACAUCGGAAUCUACCUUUUCGUGGGGGAUAACGUAGGGAAACUUACGCUAAUACCGCAUACGACCUACGGGUGAAAGCAGGGGAUCUUCGGACCUUGCGCGAUUGAAUGAGCCGAUGUCGGAUUAGCUAGUUGGCGGGGUAAAGGCCCACCAAGGCGACGAUCCGUAGCUGGUCUGAGAGGAUGAUCAGCCACACUGGAACUGAGACACGGUCCAGACUCCUACGGGAGGCAGCAGUGGGGAAUAUUGGACAAUGGGCGCAAGCCUGAUCCAGCCAUACCGCGUGGGUGAGGAAGGCCCUCGGGUUGUAAAGCCCUUUUGUUGGGAAAGAAAAGCAGCAGGUUAAUACCCCGCUGUUCUGACGGUACCCAAAGAAUAAGCACCGGCUAACUUCGUG
Molecule: ribosomal RNA, 492 nt
Filed under: uncultured bacterium
Lineage: Bacteria
Description: partial 16S ribosomal RNA
Rfam family: Bacterial small subunit ribosomal RNA
Source: RNAcentral